This 465-nucleotide ribosomal RNA is filed under the name uncultured bacterium. Its description in RNAcentral is "bacterial SSU rRNA". It matches the Rfam family "Bacterial small subunit ribosomal RNA", at positions 339 to 797 of the family's 1533-position model. The record is from RNAcentral.
AUACGGGAGGCAGCAGUAGGGAAUCUUCCGCAAUGGACGAAAGUCUGACGGAGCAACGCCGCGUGAGUGAUGAAGGUUCUCGGAUCGUAAAGCUCUGUUGCCAGGGAAGAACAGCUAGGAGAGUAACUGCUCUUAGCGUGACGGUACCUGAGAAGAAAGCCCCGGCUAACUACGUGCCAGCAGCCGCGGUAAUACGUAGGGGGCAAGCGUUGUCCGGAAUUAUUGGGCGUAAAGCGCGCGCAGGCGGCCUUGUAAGUCUAGUGUUUAAUCUCGAAGCUCAACUUCGAUUCGCACUGGAAACUGCAAAGCUUGAGUACAGAAGAGGAAAGUGGAAUUCCACGUGUAGCGGUGAAAUGCGUAGAGAUGUGGAGGAACACCAGUGGCGAAGGCGACUUUCUGGGCUGUAACUGACGCUGAGGCGCGAAAGCGUGGGGAGCAAACAGGAUUAGAUACCCCUGUAGUCCG